GACGAACGCUGGCGGCGUGCCUAAUACAUGCAAGUCGAACGCAGUGGGGACGGGGAAGUAACACGUGGGUAACCUCCCAUCAGAGGGGUUACCACUUGGAAACAGGUGCUAAACCGAUACUGAUGGAUGGACACGCGGUGCAUUAGCGAGUGGGUGAGGUACCGGCUCACCAAGGCCACGAUGCAUAGCCGACCUGAGAGGGUGAUCGGCCACACUGGGACUGAGACACGGCCCAGACUCCUACGGGAGGCAGCAGUAGGGAAUCUGCGGCAAUGGACGAAAGUCUGACCGAGCAACGCCGCGUGAGUGAAGAAGGUUUUCGGAUCGUAAAACUCUGUUGUUAGAGAAGCGGUAUCUAACCAGAAAGCCACGGCUAACUACGUGCCAGCAGCCGCGGUAAUAC
Molecule: ribosomal RNA, 403 nt
Filed under: uncultured bacterium
Lineage: Bacteria
Description: partial 16S ribosomal RNA
Rfam family: Bacterial small subunit ribosomal RNA
Source: RNAcentral